CUAUGUCACAAUGGCAUCAAUAAGGUAACUCGAGAGGUAGAAGCUGUGAGUUGCUUCUAUGAGUAACUCUUUAAUCUCCGUUCAUUUCCAGCACAAACUGUGUGAUGCAGUCCCAGUGGGAUGCCCUCCUCCUCACACAACCAUGAGGUUGCCACAUUUGACUGCCUCUAUGCUUGUUCUUGAAAGCAGUCCAUCAGACCAAUGUGGUCCAUCAGAGUCAGCUGCUGAAAACCCUGAAAAUUCCCAUAAUCCUGGAUUCUGCUAGAGACAUCCCUUCCUUUCCUAUUAUUGGGACAUGGGGAGGGUAUGCAGAGAGGUGCUUGCCAUUGCUGUAUGUGCAGUCACAGUAAAUCCACGAACCACAGCCCUGACAGUGUUAAUAGGUUGCCAGAUAGAAAAAUCUCCUUGUGCAACCAGCAGCCUGCCGGCCAGGCUGCCAUCUCAAGACGUGUGCUUGGGGGCACGGGUCCGUCAGGCUGGAGGUGUGGUGAAGUGUCAGCCUGAAGCAUCGUCAAGGCAAGAGCUCUUGGGCUGAGUUGUCUGGUCAUAAUUUCCUACCUCAUGAGGCAUCGUUGACAUGGAGGACUUUACAAGGGGACAUUACUUAAUAUGCAGGAUUGUUUAAUAUUAGGACAUGAGGGUUUCCCAUCUCAUGACUAUAAUAUAAUCUGCUUCCUUAUUAAGUGUAGCAUAUUAAUUUAUUGCUGCUAUUAAUAUGAAGCUCUCACAUUGGCAAGAAAAAUGCAAGCUACCUUUUGUCUCCGUACUCUGUCUUUGCAUUGGAAGUGUUAAUUUAAAGAUUCGUCUGAGGUUGCAUGCUUAUUUCUCCAACUGUAGCAAUUAUUUUGUGGUUUGUAAUGCCACUGAUACGAUAAACAAUAUUUAUGCCUCACUGUAAAACAUUUUAUAACUUUCUUUUAAUUGCUUUCUCAGUCUUUAAAACUGUAGCUUAGCACUUCAAUAAUAAGCUUAUUAAUUUGUUUAGCGUUUAAGUUCUUACAAAGAAAGAGACAAGCAUUAAUUUUGUUUAGUUAAAACAAGCUUUGCUUUUGAACAGCAGGUGGUAAUUGAAACAAAACAAGGGCUCAUUAGAGGAGCGUCUGGUGGCUCAUGAUACAAACAGAGCACACUACAAAACCCAAACACAAGAGCCCUGAAAUAAAGUGGUCAUCAUCUAAUUAACA
Molecule: long non-coding RNA, 1184 nt
Filed under: Numida meleagris (helmeted guineafowl)
Lineage: Eukaryota; Metazoa; Chordata; Aves; Galliformes; Numididae
Description: lncRNA (ENSNMEG00000020871.1)
Source: RNAcentral